AUGGAUGCCGGCGACGAGCCCUCCGUCACCCGCUGGUCCUUCCAGGACUUCGAGCGCUACUACGACGCGGGCCUCGGCAUCUGCCGCCAGCCCAAGGGCGACGGCGACGACGACGACAACGCGCCGCCCGGAUCGGGCUCCGCCGACACCGCUCACGGCCACGCCAACGGCGGCGCCGACCUGUCCGUCUUCGAGCAGUUCCAGCGGAUGGAUAGAAAUGUCGAGUUGCGCAAUGGGGCAAUGGAUGCCGGGCCACCGCAGAAAUCCCUGCUUCCUUCUUUUGAAUCUGCAGAAACACGCAACUUAGCCGAGACAUUGUUGAGGGAUAUCAUUCGUGGGAGUCCAGAUGUCAAAUGGGAAAGCAUUAAAGGUUUGGAAACUGCGAAGCGACUUCUUAAGGAGGCAGUUGUCAUGCCUAUAAAGUAUCCCAAGUACUUCACAGGUCUGUUAUCACCCUGGAAAGGUAUAUUGCUAUUUGGUCCACCAGGAACAGGAAAGACAAUGCUGGCAAAAGCUGUGGCUACCGAGUGCAAAACAACUUUUUUCAACAUUUCAGCCUCAUCAAUUGUCAGCAAAUGGCGUGGUGACUCGGAGAAACUAGUAAAAGUCUUAUUUGAGCUUGCAAGGCAUCAUGCACCAUCUACCAUUUUCCUUGAUGAGAUUGAUGCUAUCAUUAGCCAACGUGGUGAAGCUCGUAGUGAACAUGAAGCCAGUCGGCGAUUGAAGACUGAACUAUUAAUACAGAUGGAUGGAUUGACUAAGACAGAUGAGCUUGUUUUUGUUCUGGCGGCCACAAAUUUACCUUGGGAACUAGACGCAGCAAUGUUACGCCGAUUGGAAAAACGUAUUCUUGUGCCCUUACCAGAGGCAGAAGCUAGGCAUGCUAUGUUUGAAGAGUUCCUUCCAUCGACUCCAGAUACAAUGGAGAUUCCAUAUGAUGUUCUUGUGGAGAACACCGAAGGAUAUUCCGGCUCUGAUAUACGCCUUGUCUGUAAGGAGGCAGCAAUGCAACCACUUAGACGGUUAAUGGCAGUUCUAGAAGGCAGACAAGAAGAAAUGCCAGAGGAUGAGUUGCCUGAAGUUGGCCCAAUAGCGGCAGAAGAUAUCGAACUUGCCUUGAGGAAUACACGGCCGUCUGCUCAUCUCCAUGCACAUAGAUAUGAGAAAUUCAAUCAAGAUUAUGGCAGCCAUGUCAUUGGCUAA
This 1203-nucleotide ribosomal RNA is filed under the name Triticum aestivum (bread wheat). RNAcentral's name for it is "partial small subunit ribosomal RNA". The record is from RNAcentral. Lineage: Eukaryota; Viridiplantae; Streptophyta; Magnoliopsida; Poales; Poaceae.